This 179-nucleotide unclassified non-coding RNA is filed under the name uncultured Chaetothyriales. RNAcentral's name for it is "sequence contains ITS1". Lineage: Eukaryota; Fungi; Ascomycota; Eurotiomycetes; Chaetothyriales. The record is from RNAcentral.
AAGAGUAAGGGUCUCCGGGCCCGAUCUCCAACCCUUUGUUUAACUACCAUGUUGCUUUGGCGGGCCCGUCUCACGACCGCCGGAAGUUUGGCUUCGACCAAACUUCUGGCCCGUGCCCGUCAGUGGCCCCUUCAAAUUCUUGAUGAAGUAUGAUGUCUUAGUUAUAAACUUAAUAGUUA